UACAGAGGUCCCAAGCGUUGUUCGGAUUCAUUGGGCGUAAAGGGUGCGUAGGUGGCGCCGUAAGUGGGGUGUGAAAUCUCGGGGCUUAACUCCGAAACUGCAUUCGAUACUGCCGUGCUUGAGGACUGGAGAGGAGACUGGAAUUUACGGUGUAGCGGUGAAAUGCGUAGAUAUCGUAAGGAAGACCAGUGGCGAAGGCGGGUCUCUGGACAGUUCCUGACGCUGAGGCACGAAGGCCAGGGGAGCAAACGGG
This 253-nucleotide ribosomal RNA is filed under the name uncultured bacterium. RNAcentral describes it as "partial 16S ribosomal RNA". It matches the Rfam family "Bacterial small subunit ribosomal RNA", at positions 524 to 776 of the family's 1533-position model. The record is from RNAcentral.